Nicotiana tabacum (common tobacco) is the source of this 1509-nucleotide non-coding RNA. Lineage: Eukaryota; Viridiplantae; Streptophyta; Magnoliopsida; Solanales; Solanaceae. The record is from RefSeq and is a predicted model, not a curated record.
CCGAUGCCCACCCUUACUUGUGGUCCGGCCCUUCCCGGGACCUCGCGCAUAGCAGGAGCUUAGUGCACCGGGUUGUCCUUUUAGUUAAUCUGAUGACUUGCGCUUUUCUUUAUAUACAAUUUAAAUUCUCUAGACUCCUGGUAGUUCCGGUGACACCAAUUGCCAAUCUCUACCCACUUAUCCAUGCCUGUACAGGAUAACAGAAAAUGGAUAUAUGACUAGUUGAAAUUACUUAAUGGAAAAUAUACCUAUUCAGCUACAUGGUUUGGCUUUCUUCACCCUUGUAUAAGGAUUCAAGUUCAUAUGUGUGAGUUUGUGUUUAUAUCCUUCAAGAUCGCAAUCCUUUUAAACUCAGGUUCAGGUCUUCCUAAUUUUUUGCCAGCAUAAGGAGUGAAGAGGAUUAACUUGUUCACCGUUAAUCAUACUUCCAGAGUGUUCUAGUGAGAGAGCUGUUCACUUUCCUGCAUUUAUCAAUCUAGAUCCCCAGGGCACCCAGGAAGGUGUGUUUCUUUGAUUGGCUGGUAACCAAGGAAGAGAUAUUGAUAGCAGAGAAUCUGAGGAAGAUGAGGAUUGUAUAUUUGUGGGUGCUUCAUGUGUAGAUGUUUGGUCUUCGUGUAGAUCAUCUUCUGCUACAUUGCUGGAUGGCAGCGCAUUUGCGGGUGGCUGGUCCUGAAUCGGUUCGGUGUACAAUGGGUGAUGCCAAGCAAAGGAAACCUGCAAUAGAGGCGGAACUAGGUAUAGAUAAAGAAAGGGCGCAGAAUGCAUGUCGUAAGACCAGUCACAGCUACAAAUAUAACAAAGCCACAUGCAGGCUGCGGCUACAUGGAAGGAGAUGUUUUUUCAUUUCCCCUCGUGUUUUUGGUAGUUAGAAGGAUUUUACAUUUUGCAGAACUGGAUGCAGAUUGUCAAUGUCACUUAAUAUCCAAGCUCCAAGUAUCUUACAUGGAUUGAUCCUCUCCAGAAUAUCUUGUAUACAUGAAUCGUAACAUAAAUGAGGUAGCUGGGAAGUCCUAUCAAGAAAAUCCAUCAUUCCUGUUGUGCUGCCCCACACGGUCACUAGGUCUUGCAUAUCAGAUUUCUAACAAUGGAGCUUUCAUCUUCAAUCCCAGUUUCUAGUCACUAUGCCAUCUGUUUCAUGGAGAAAACUUCUGUUAGCCUCAAGGAACAGAUGGAUAAGGAAGAGAGUAAAAAUGAAGAAGAUAUUAGAUUGGAAUGUUGUGAUUUCAACAACUUACACAAGAAUAUAUUCCAAGAAGAAACCAGACAAGUCUGUAUUGAGUGCUAGAGACUAGUUCAAUGGUCCAAAGAAGUGGGCAUAUGGGAAAUGGUUUUCAACUUUUAGCCAUAAGUGUUGUCUUGUACGUGGCUAAGUCAAUGGUGGUAGCUACUGUCAGUUUACUCAUAAAAGCAUUUCUCAUCUCCCUCUUUCUGUAAAAUGGUCCCCUAGUUUUUGAAAAUGAAAUGUAACUAAAACUUUACGGAUAUUGCAGGGACAUUUAUACUGGGAAA